Oxyura jamaicensis (ruddy duck) is the source of this 8057-nucleotide long non-coding RNA. RefSeq lists it as uncharacterized. The transcript has 4 exons. NCBI's taxonomy places the organism in Eukaryota, Metazoa, Chordata, Aves, Anseriformes, Anatidae. The record is from RefSeq and is a predicted model, not a curated record.
GUAUUCAUGUAUUUUUUAGAGGACUGAUGCGAACUGGUUCAGUGGUUUUACUGCAUAGCAGUACCUUUGUCUUAACCAGAAAUUCCAGCUAAUGCUUGCUAAUAACAGUGCUUUUUCCUACAAAGUCUUUCUAUGAAAGAUGAUUGGGGUAGUUUCUGGCUGUAAACUGAAGGUUUUCUAACAUACUGACUUACCCUGCCAUUCACGUUUGCAUUGCUUACACUUAUACAAAACUUCUGAGAUCACAUGAUGGAGAUUUGGACUGACUUCAAAAUGGCAAGAGAAAUGGCUAUUUGGGGGUGUAUAUACACAUCUCAGUGAAUUUGAAGGUAAGAGCUAGUACUUCACUGUUUCAGAAGAAUUCACUGAAUGCUUUCCAAGCUGUAAUAGGUAAGACAAAGGACAGCAAAUUGAUAAUUUGCUCGAGAUAUUAUCUACAGCAUUAGAGACAUUCUAAAUAUAAUUGUCCUGAUCUCUCAGCUUUCAAAUUAACUUCUUCCUAAUUGCUACUGUGCUCCUUGCAUUUAAAGCCUAACAGUGCAUCAAGCUCCUAGGAUUACUUAUUAUAACAGAUAAUCCUACAAAAGCGUAUACAUCACAGUUUCAGAUGCGGAACGUACAAAUAAGCAAGUUCUAGUUCUGUGCGCACUGUUUAACAUAGCGAUCAUUUUACGUAGGAGCAAGUACAAUUAGAACUUGAAAAUACCAGCUGCUAUAGUUCCAUUUUUGUUAAAUGGCAAAGAAACUGGCAGUAGCUCCUGAUAACUUUCUUUCUUGCAGCACUUGUACCUUUUACAAGGUUAAAAUUUCUUAGCAACACUUGAAGUUUUCUCUUGGGAUCAAUGAAAUAUUCACCUGCAUUUGGCGCUGCUGCUGUUAUUUAUCACUGUCUAUUGUCAAGGCAACAGAAUAUCUACUGCAUCUGUACCAGCUGAUCUGCCUCACUAUGUGAUUUCAGCUUUUUCCCCACUCUCUAACCGGCUCUUUACCUUGAGAACAUCUUUAUAAUAGCAAGGAGACUGAAAAAUGAAUGUGCCAGGGUAUCCUGGAGCUGUAGCAGAGGACUGGAGGACUGAGCUCCCUAAAGUUUGCCAAUUACUUCCUUCAGGGAGCCUGAAGGCAGAGGAAGAUGAGGAAAAUAUGCACAUCACUGUUGAUUUUACCCCUACACCAGAGGAUUCUCCUAAACACACGAGACUGUAACAGGGUCUCAAAGGAUAUGGCAAUCUGCUCGAUGGCUGCCGACUACUGCAAGAGCUUGGAUGGAAAAGAACUAUGGGAUGUGCAGAGAGGAAAACUACUUGACCUCCCAAAUAUUACAAGCCUUGUAAUUCUGCACAGAAACGUUCCUUUGUGUGGUCAAAUACUGUAGCUACUUUUAGACUGUUCCAUUUUCAAGGCUAUAUUAUUUUGUGGUGACUGAGUCUGACCAGCUUCGUGGCACUCCUGCAGGAAGAGAACUCGGAGUGUUCAUUUUAGCCUGCAACGUGCAUCCUGGCAGAAAGGUUCCACUUCCACCAAACCAAGUGAGCACUUCACAAGUAAAAUGUACUUCUUGCUGCUUAGAACAGAAGAAACAUCUAAAUUCACAUUUAUACAGAAAAUGUAUGUAGGUAAGUAAGGCAGGCUUCAUCAUAAACCUGAAUUCUGUUCAUUUCAGAUGGUCUAGUAGCUCUGUGAAUCAGUAACAUUCAUUGAAUUACUUUUAUAGAGAAGUCCUUCAGAUAUUGCAAUCUGAAGUCUUAAAUGUAUCAUGGACCACUUUACUAAAAAUUUCUGUAGACGUAGAAAAGCAAUAUCUAACUAUAAGUUCCCAGUCUUGUAGAACGGGAUAAUCAUGGCAUGAGGAAAAAGUCGUAUGAUGUUAUCUAGAGGUAAAAUUACAAUUGAGAGAACAUACUUGUUGUUUCAUAAAGUGUCCCUAUUAUAUAAUUCUAAGUUGAUAGAAACAAGUUACUUUUUUUCAUUAUUAUGCUGCAAUAUGCAAAAUAUAUUCCAACUCUUAGUACAUUUGCAAAGGUUAAGUAAUCAAACUAGUCAAACAUCUGUAAAAGUAAAAGCUAGGAGAGCAUUCUGAUCCCUGCUACAACACUGAACAUCUACAUUUUGUCAGCUCUUGGGAGAGAAGGGAAGCUCAUUGCAGAUAAGAAAGGCUUUUUUUUUUUAUAUAAAGAGGAAAGUCUGCUCAGGCAAUUUUUGCUUGGAAGUCAAAGUGGCAGUUGUUACCACUAUAUAUUUACAUUCAUCGCUUACCCGUGAAUUUAGUAAGUGCAAAACUGACAGCUCCGUAUUUUUAUUUUCAGGCACAGGAGACUGACAUCAGGUACUUUCUUCUAAAAGAUUCUUUCUCACCUUAUGUCACAGAACAUUAGUAGAAUAUAUUGGAGAUACCAUGCUGACACUGGGCUAUACAGUGCAAAAUUGUAUAUCAAAAGCUUGUCCAAUACAGACUAAGUACUGAACUUAGAUGUGUAUCAGAUAAAAAACAAUGCUCAUGAAAGAAAUCAAGCCAACAAGGCUACAGUGGAAAGAUUCCUGUUGACAAGUAAAAAAAAUCACAAGUAGCAACAGUUGAAAUUUUACAGCUAGAGUGCAAGAAAUAACUUUAAAUUCAAUCACAUUACUUGCUAUCAUGGGAAUUUUCAGAGCUAACUGGAAAAUCUUGCACAUCUCAUGUUUAUCAUACUCCAGUACAGUAAGUAUACAAAGCUGUAAACAUGACAAAUAUCUUGUCUUUAACAGUUUAUAUUUACACACAUUUGUCCCAGUAGUGCAAAACAGUUCUCUUCUAUCUGGAUCUCAAGAAAAGCAUCAAUAGAUACAUAAACAAAAAAACAGAAAUGCUGCCUAAAUACUAGGGAUAUUUCAAUGCCUCCUCAACAAACUGCUUCAAAUCUGUCCUCGUUGUGUUAGAAAAUCAACUACUCGGAAAGAAACAUUAUUUUAUGUUUAAAAAUUUGGGCUGUGCCAUUCAUAACAAAUGACACUCAAUUAAAGAAUCAAACCAACUGACCAAUAAUGUGUAGACAGAAACAAAAAGGUUGUUAAGAGGAAAAUCUAGCCUUUAGUGGUAUUUUGUAGAAAAAAAUCCUAAGCAAGGUAGACAAUUUCUCAACUGAAAUGUGCACCCUAUAGUACAAAGUGUUUAAAUACACACAUGUUCAAAGGAUAUGUCAUUGCCUUCUCUUUCAUGGGAAGGAAAUCCAGGUGUGCAAACCAGAAAAGAGAUAAAAUUUUGUCAUACUCCUGAAGAAAGAGCUCCACAGAAUUUGUCACUCCACAGUCUACGUGCAGGCAACAAACCCAAAGCUAGGGAAGGUAAAUAAUCUCAGUGUAACAUUAAGAAUCCUUCAGGGAGAUGGGAUAUUACACAGAAUAGUUGUAACUUCCACCAUUAUGGCUUAAUUACAUCAUGGACUGUAAGUGAGUUAAAUCAUUCAUUUCAUCAGAUUAAUUAUCAUUAAGGUGUCAAUUUUGUCAUUGGAAUAAGUAUGAGUUGUAGUAGUGAUGCCUGCAUUACUCUUUGAGGAAGGUAAAGGUAUGUCUCUGAAGUACAACAUAGCUCUAUGGCAAAUUCAUAUUCAUGACAAGAAUCAAGAUAAUGAUCACACUAUGAAGGAAGACUAGCCAAGCUGAAAAGCACACCUGCAUGCUCUGUGGGGAAGAAAAACAUCAACAAAAAAGCCCUCUCCUUAAAAACAAAAGCAUGAGGAUUGCAUUUGCAAAAAACAUCAUCUCAGCAAAGGGCUGGAGUUACUGUUUGUCUUUGAAAUAAAACAUCCAGACAGACAAUAGGAGCAGGGUACAUAGAGUGACAGUAGAAGUGGUAGCGUCUUGCGCCCACAGAAAUACUCAUCCUGCUGUAUGUAGCCGAUGAAGUUCAAGGGAAAUACCCUUAAAAAUAUGUGAGCCCAAGACAAAGAGCUGCAUGACACCCCAGUAGUGGUAUGUCCACAUGCUCAUGGUUCACACCUGGAUUGAUGCUCUCAGAUCCUGGUAACAGCACAGUUUGUACCUCCUCCCUAUUUCAAUCACUAGGAGAGUAUCACGUAGACAUCCCAUCUACCUUAGUACAAUGAGCAGACAAUAAGAGUGAUUGAAGAGAAAAUAAACUAACGUAUGAUACAGAUUCUCUCUUUCAACUUUUCUGUAGUCUGAAACUUUAUCAGUUCCUCAUGGACGUUUUUCCCCCCUCCAUUUCAGCUAUUUUCCAAGGCUAGCGGGAGAGUCAGCACCAAGAAACUAAUGGAAGAACCAAUCAAACCGUGUGCCCAAGCGCUAAUUCCUGUUAAGAGAUGAUGCCAAAGAAAACUUGCUGUGACUCACACAGUUCAAACAUUCCUGUCUCACACAGAUGAUUUAGAGUAGAGCUAACUUCCAAGAACUAUUUAUUUUAUUCCUGUACUUUGUUUUCUUUGUAGUAGUUUUUUUGUUAGACCCAUUGUAAAAACAGGCAUCUUGUACUUCCACAACUCUGCCUUUUGCCUUCAGGGAGAUGUAGCAGCUGCUAAAGAAGAGGCCUUAGUUGAAUUACUAAUUUAAUAUUAUAAAUAUAUUUAUCUAAGCAUAUUAAAUAAAAAAGUAUUAAAUGUUAGAGAUCAGCACAAAAUUCUUUUUGGUGCUUUGCAAUUAUUUCUAGCCAUCGUAGCGUUUGAUUUUUUCAGAAUUCUGUUUCUCUGCACCUACCACGUGACAACGACUGCUGCUUCAUGAGCUCAGAGAAUUAGUUAUUUGGCAAAGCUUCAUUAAGUUUCUAUGUGAGGGAAAGUGACUAUAAAUUGGUGCCAUGAGUGAAGGGCCCUCUGUUUUCUGGAAAGGAUAAAGCCCACAAUUUGAUCUCAAUCCUGUAUUUCAUCCUCCACAACAGUUGUAAUAUGUCCCAUUAAUGAAGGAGAAAAAGCUUGGGAUUAAUAACUUCAGUUAUAUCAAGGUGAAGUAAACAUGGUAGAGUUUCAUGGGUAGGGUUGUCCCUUAAAAAGAGAAAAAGAAAAAAGCCUCAGCCAUUUUACUGGACUCUGUCCAAUUCUUACAUUAACAUUUUAAAGCAGAAACUGAACAUGUGGAAAAUGUUUAGGUUACCCUCCUGAGUUAAACAGGACAGCUUUAGAGUUAUCUAAACAAAAUCAUGAGCAGCACUAGACACUUCUUUUAACAUCUUGGGAUAACUUAGGUAUGGGACAACUGAUCAAGGAAAAGAGUCUGAAAUCUCUUACUGGCCUCAGAAAGCAGCCAUCCUGCUUUUUCUCUGUAAUCCUUAGGUAAAAAAGGUUCCCAAUAGGUUGUCCAACUGCAUAGCGUAAGUUACCCCUUCAUUCUCAGCCAUAAAGACAGCUUAAAUUACCCAAGCAAAAUUUAACUGCAUCUGUAAUACAAAAAAGAAUGAGAGAUUGUAAUUCAGGGAACCCUCAUUUUAUCAUAAAAAGCAGACACUCAGACUAGCAAAUAAGAAGAAACUGCUUGGAAGCAGUUUUGCAAUUGGAGCUAGUGCUCCUUCAACCAUCUGUUACAACCACUCCAGCUCUUUUGAGAACAAGGUUAGGUUUGCACAUAAAGCAAAGGUUGCUAGGUUUCCUUUAAAACAACGAAUAAUAACAUGUUCUCUCUACAAUUACUGUACUUCCUGAGAACAGCAUUAAUUUUCAGAGAAUUUGAAAAGUAAAUCUGUUAAUAAGCUUAGGAAUUAAUAUUAAACACAAGUUCUUUCAGAAAUUUAGCAAAACCCACAAGACUUAUAUUUUUUCCUUUUUAAUUCUUGCAGUCUUUGUGUUAGAGUACUAUUAUCCGUUCAAACUACCCACAUCAGACUGUGGUUUUGCUUUUGCUUUAUGUCCAAAUACUGUGUUUUAAACAAGAAUUCUUAUUUUUGCUAAAAGUAUCUCUCUUAGAAGAUGCCAAAGAGUAGAAGCCUCCUACCAAGAACACUAGGAAGAAUAGCAUCAGUUCAAUGUAAUUUGACUUCUCCCAGUCUUAGUGGGAAGAAAAUCACUCCAAAACCUUUGCUCAGUAAAUAGCCAGUUUGAGAGUAUCUCUUUGAUUGACCUCCCUUCCGCAACUGUGCAUUUACAUAUCUUGUUGGCUUAGGCUCACAUGACAGUUAUAGCCAUUACAUUUUAAGGCUAGAAGGGCAUAAUUUGACAGCAGAGCUGGACAGACCCUCCAACUCUAACUCACCAGGUCAAGUUAAGGGUGAGUUUCCUGGAUUUAUUACACUAGUAUCCAAAACUUGAACAGCAAAAAAAAAAAAAAAAAAAAAGCAGUACAACUAAGCAUAUUGAUAUACACUAAUACCCCUAUCUAAAGAUGAAUGAUUUUUGAAGCCUUCUAGUAACUUACAAACUGGUGCCCUCACUGGUAACUUUUUAAAUUGAUUUGCCUGCAGUAUCAUAAUCCAGUUUCUGCAAGGGACAUGCAUUUUUUAACUCCCUUUAAAUUCAUUAAAAAUACUAUGAAUUAAAAUUAUAUAUGUGUCAAACCAACAACUGCAGAACACCUGAGAAAACUGCAGUCUGCAUCAUGUUAUAUACAAGUACAUGCAAGCUAGCUUAUUAGCUAGAAUCACCAGCAUGGGAUAGCACCUGUGUCAGUCACACUUCCCUCCUCUGUCUGGAGCAGAGCAGCAAUAAGAGACAACAGAGAUAUAAAACCUACAAAGCAGACUCAAGGGUUCUUUUCUUAGGCAUUUUAAAUUAAUGUGAAAUGCAACACCAGAACACGGAAUCACGGCAGACUCUCCCAAGGGCUAUGACUGUCAAAGUAUGAAAAUGGAUCGGCUGAUUUUUAUAUUUGCUAACUUCUCCUCUGAGUCCUUACCAGCAGCUAAGAACAGUGGUUUAACACUUCAGACAAGAAAUUGUCACUUAGAUGCAGGUGACAUUUCCCCCCUCCUUAUGCAUUAUUUUUUUUUUUCCUGUGACUGUGUCCCUCUUAUGUCCCAGUGAGGGCCUCUUAUACUGGACACAAAAACACUGCUAGAGUUUGAAGAGAUCGAAGUGCUCAAUGUUAGUUCUCUACUAAUUUAGAAAGCAGACUUCACAAUAGCUUCUCACAACUCUGUCAUCCUCAUGCCUUCAUCCUGAGCUGGGAAGCACCUAUCCAGAUGAGAACAACAGCCUGUGAUCUUUGUCAGGAAAAUGCCAGCAGCAGCACCUUUUGUGGCAGACAACUUCAGGAAGAGAACAGACCAAGACUAGCCAAAUUCCAUUGCACGGGUCUCUGGAUAGCUUAGGUAGCAUGAGGCUGUGUUAAAAGUCCCUAUAAUUUACUUACAUCUUCUUUCUUUGGCUGUGACAGCCCAGGUGUUAAAACCACAAUCUAAUCCCAUUACCUUCUUGUGCUUUAGUUUCUCCUUUAUUAAGCAGAUGUUGACCUUUCUUUAUUAUGCACUUUGAGACAUACAAAUGAAAAGCUGUAUGUAAGAGCUGAUUAUUGUUUUAGCUACUAAUAAUAACCCUUGAGCUCUCUAAGUCUCUCAGGUAAAAUAAUUCUGUAUAACUAAGCAAAUCUUUCAAAUCCUUCCAAAUCUCCACCUGAACUUUACAAUCUAGAUGGUGAAGGCAGUGGAGGAAAGAGGCAAUAGAAAAUUUCCUAUUCACUUUAAACAAAAACGAAAAAAUGCAUGAAAUGCUUCACCCUGGCAGCAGGGAUCUGUCAUGUGACACAACUCCCCCAGAACAGUUUUGCCUUUUCCUUCCAAAUAAUUCAACUUGCAUUAAAGGUUUAGUUCUGAGACCUUCAGUUCAUCUCAAUAGUUUGUAGCAAGGAGACAAAUAGUGCUCUUUAAAUAAGAACCAAUUUCCUCCUCUGAACAUUCCUCUGCAUUUGGAUAUUGGGUCUUUCCCAUGGAUCUAAAUGAUUUCAGCAAAGGCUUUAUCCUCCCAGUGAGUGAAACCACAGUGAUUUUAUCUGUAUUGUCAGAAUUUGCAAGUCUUCUCCCCUCGCUUGCUUUUCACACCUUUUAUUUAUUUAUAUUUUUUUUAAACACCACGGAAAGCAAUUGGCCCUGUACUCAGAGAUGGAACCUCUGCAGGGGGAACAAGCUUCUAAAGCACGCUUCAAAA